This 738-nucleotide ribosomal RNA is filed under the name Proteus mirabilis. RNAcentral's name for it is "partial 23S ribosomal RNA". It matches the Rfam family "Bacterial large subunit ribosomal RNA", at positions 1 to 782 of the family's 2925-position model. The record is from RNAcentral. Lineage: Bacteria; Pseudomonadati; Pseudomonadota; Gammaproteobacteria; Enterobacterales; Morganellaceae.
GGUUAAGCGAAUAAGCGUACACGGUGGAUGCCUAGGCAAUCAGAGGCGAUGAAGGACGUGCUAAUCUGCGAAAAGCGUCGGUAAGGUGAUAUGAACCGUUAUACCCGACGAUAUCCGAAUGGGGAAACCCAGUAUCCAAUGGAUACUAUCAUUAACUGAAUCCAUAGGUUAAUGAGGCGAACCGGGAGAACUGAAACAUCUCAGUACCCCGAGGAAAAGAAAUCAACCGAGAUUCCCCUAGUAGCGGCGAGCGAACGGGGAGCAGCCCAGAGUCUUAAUCAAUAGCAGUGUCAGGAGAACGGUCUGGAAAGUCCGGCAGUAAAGGGUGAUAGCCCCGUAUCUGAAGAUGCUGUUAUUGUGAACUCGACGAGUAGGGCGGGACACGUGUUAUCCUGUCUGAAUAUGGGGGGACCAUCCUCCAAGGCUAAAUACUCCUGAUUGACCGAUAGUGAACCAGUACCGUGAGGGAAAGGCGAAAAGAACCCCGGCGAGGGGAGUGAAAAAGAACCUGAAACCGUGUACGUACAAGCAGUAGGAGCCUCUUUAUGGGGUGACUGCGUACCUUUUGUAUAAUGGGUCAGCGACUUAUAUUCUGUAGCAAGGUUAACCGUAUAGGGGAGCCGUAGGGAAACCGAGUCUUAACUGGGCGAAUGAGUUGCAGGGUAUAGACCCGAAACCCGGUGAUCUAUCCAUGGGCAGGUUGAAGGUUGGGUAACACUAACUGGAGGACCGAACCGA